Long non-coding RNA from Piliocolobus tephrosceles (Ugandan red Colobus), 4993 nucleotides. RefSeq lists it as uncharacterized. The transcript is spliced from 3 exons. The record is from RefSeq and is a predicted model, not a curated record. NCBI's taxonomy places the organism in Eukaryota, Metazoa, Chordata, Mammalia, Primates, Cercopithecidae.
CCUCGCAGGCUGGCCUGGACAGUUCUUUGAGUUGCUCCUGCAGGCCCUGCUGUCUGUGCUGCCUCUAACCACCUCCUUAUUGCCACUUGCCAGGGCUGGGGCCCUGCACAACUGACCCUGGCUGCCCCAGUCGGCAGGAGCAGGUGGGAAGUUUGCCUUAGUGAGGAACGGAGGCCGUAGCAUGGGCCAUGGUUGCCGGGUCCAACGCAUGGAGAGAAGCGCUAUUUCAUUGGAACCCCUGACAACCCUGAAGUACUUUUGUGCAGGAAGGAUGAGGUGAGGUGAGAGGGGUCACUCAUCUCAACCCAGGAUUCUUAAUUUGUGAAGCGUGGGGGGACCUGGGACUUCCUUCGAGUUGUGUAAAAAUGUUCUCUGUAUAGGCAUGAGCACACUCUUUCUGGAAAGAAUGUCUAACAAUACGUUAUCACUUUCUCGAAGGGCUCUUGACCUACACAUUGCUCUGCUCCCGCAAAGCAUGAGAGGGGGCUCUGCGAUCCGCCUGCCUCAGCCUCCCAAAAUGCUGAGAUUACAGGCGUAAGCCACUGCCCCGGCCUGCCUCCUGAGAUUUUAAAAUGCAUGUUUAUGGAUUUGCUUGUUUGUUUUCUGAUUUGUAAAGCACUCCACGCUUAUGUGAUAACAAGAAAUAACGUAAUAGAAGGUGACAUGAAAAAGCAAAAUACACAAUUGUUAUUUCUACUCUGCAAAAGUGGGUAUUCACCAAGUGUCUGCUAUGCUUCCUGGUGACUGAGGAUACAGCAGAAGAAGGAAACAGACCCGAAUCUCUUUCCUUGUGGAGACUGCGGUUUUGGAUGGGGAGGCUGGGUUUCCAUGAUAUAAAAACAGACAACAGCUGCAAGGAUGAAUGACUGUUUGAGGCUGUUCGGCGGUGGGUGAACUGGUCUGGGAUCCUCCAUCACCCAGAACACUGGCAGAUUCAGGGGUGAGAGGAAAAGAAUGUGCUUUUUGUGGAAAAGUUGGAAAAUAUGGAAGAGAGAAAACAAGGAACUGAGGAUCUUCAGGUGCACAGGCUCGCUCUCUUCAGCUUCAGCCAGAGGGACAGGCAGAGGAGUCAUUAUCCAGCGCCGCUGGCCAGGAGCCCGACCGUGAGCCUGUCUUCUUUCUGCUUUCAAAGCAGCUGCGUCAUGUGGCUUCUCUCCGACCUCCCGAGCUGCUGUUAAGUACAACUCUUCAUGUGAUUUCAAAGAGAUGCAGUCAUCGCUCCACGGUGUCAUCAAAAAUACUCCAGGGCAGCGUAGGUGGGUGGGGCGGACUCAUUUACACAAAGACUGGAGGCCUCUGGGGGGCCAUCCUCUGGCCAGCUCUGCUGUGUCUGAUGGGACUGAGACUGGGCGUGGGGUGGGGAUUUGCCUCGGCCUAGGGCUUUUACUGGGUGAAAAACCCUCUGCUUUUGCUUAGGGUUGGUGAGAUCAUUAUCUAACAGCAUGGCCACAGGAGAGAGCCUUUUCCAGGUUCCUGAAGUGAUAAAAGACCACUCUCCUGAUGAGAAACGAGCUGGAAAGAGAGUGCUGCUUGGCUCUCACUGCAAACUGCAGUUCCAGUCAGCAUAUAUAAUGAGCUACACAAAUGUAUUUGGGACUAGAAGUGAGCGCAGAAAGCAAGCAUUCUGGCAGCCUAGGAUGUGAGUUGUUUUGACUUUAAAAAAUCAUCUUUGAGGUUGAAAAUACAAGGUUUUUUUUCCUCCCUAACAUAAAUAUGUGCUCACUCUAAAGAACCCCAGGAUUCCAGGCAGCACAUACCAUUUCCCGAAAUGCAGCAGGAGGCUGCUGCAAGUGGAUACGAACAUUUUGCUCAUAACACAGUCCUCCCUCACAUUUCUCUCUCGAAAAAAAAAAAAACAAAAAAACCAAAAAACCGAAACCAGCUGCUAGUAGAAGCUACUUCUUAAAAGGACACAAGGCAGGUUCAAAAAUAAUCAUGGGUUUUUUUUUUCUACCCCAGUCUCCCACCCAGCCACAAAGAACAAACAACAAAACCCAAGCGAAAAAGAGGGUGGAGGGACGUUUGCUUUGACUUUCUGUAUGCUUUCUGGCAUUAAGCACUUACUUGUGGGCUGACAGUUUGCAGCAUUUAUAAAGCAUCUUAGCUUUCUCAUGGGACUGGUGUGAGGUCUUGCCACCCACCCAUGGAAGCUGUAGCCCUCUUCACUGUGGCAGCCACCAGGGUGCGGUUGGAGGGUCCGCCCCACCGCACAACUGUAACCAGGCCCACAGGUUGGGUGUGGAGAGCUGUGCAUUAGAAGGGCUUGGUCCAUCUGUGGCCUCUGCGAGUGGCAGGAAGAGACUCUAAUGUCACCCACUAGUAGCCCUAAUAACAUUACGAGGCUUGGUCCACUGAAUCCAAACCUUUUCCUUGGUCUGUGGACUCAUGUCACACUGCAAUGCAAUCUUACAGAAAAAUGCACAAACCCAAACUGCCAGACCAAGUAUUUCCAUCUGCUUCUCGCCUUUCUUACCCUGUCAUUGGAGGGAAUACUUGGGAAGAAGAAUGUUCUCAAUGGGUGUGAGCUUGACUCAGCGUCAGCCCCUCCUGGGCUGCCACUCUUUUCUGUUCAGAUCAAGUGAUCCGUGCUCCAGCAUAUUGGUAGUCUGCAGUGAUGUGGGUGGUCCUGUAUGUUGAGAGGCCUUUGGUAACCCCUCACUGGAGCAGCGUCAGCUGGUCCUGGAAACACACUUGGGACCUGUAGUUUGAGCCACCACACCGAAUGGGUCUUAUUUGGGACUCAGAAUAUAUCCUGGAGAGCAGGGAACUUAGGAGUGUAACAAUGUCAUUUGGCAGGGACCAGAGACUAAGCAUUAUCUUCUAAGGUGAGCUCUUCCUCAGGGCCCCUUCCACACGGCCUUGGCCACUCCCAGCUUGCUAAGUGUCUGCAGAGCCCCUGCUGUUGAUGUGUGUAUUUAGAUCUCUUAGUGUUCUCGCAUCUAAGUAAAUGAGGGCUCUGAGCUUAGCCUACACUGUGCUUCCCUGCAUGUACAUGCAUGCACACACUCAACACAGCACAUACACACAUGCACACGUUCAACACAGCACACACACACACUCAAUACCCAGCACACACGUACACACACCCACAGGCUGAGUGGCCAGUGCUUAUGGGGAAGAGUGCUGAUAGAGAAGGAUUUAGGUGCCAGUACCCUGGGCUGAGAGCUUACAUGUGGCCCUGGGAUUGCGGUCAGGGUCUUGGAGAAAGGGACUACAGGGAGCGUAAAGUGGGUUGUUUUCAGGAAGGUCUGUGUUACACUCUGGGAGUAUGCCAUGAUUCUUUAAGGCUCAGAUGAGAAAGAGUGACAGAGUUGGGAAAAGGGGCAUCCUCCUCACUUUUGCACGGGACCCAGUGUCACCCUAGGCUGGGAGACUAGAAGGGAAGCUUGUGUCAUUCAGUGACAUGAGGGUUCUUCAGUUUUAGGAGAUGUCCCCCCACCCCGGCAGGGUGCUAACCAUGGAGGACCACCACGGAUGCCUCCAGCAGCUUCUGGCCAGAAGAUCCUGUAAGGAGCCAGAGAAGAAGGUGAGGGGCCUGGUGCUGCGCGUGUGUGAGGUUGUUCAGGCUCCUUCAGUGACCGAUGCUAUGACAUCUACACGUCUCUCUCUCUGUGUCUGUCAACCUACCUAUUGAUUAUCUAUCUAUCUACCUAUCCUAUCACAACUAUCUCUGUCUUUCAUCUAUUUAUCAUCUACCUACCUAUCUCAUCUAUGCAUCUAUAUAUGUAUGUAUGUAUCUAUCUAUCUCUAUCUAUCUAUCAAUCAUCUGUUUUUUUUAUCUUGGUUACACCAGAUAAGCUGAGGAUUUUGCAGGUAAGCAUGUGGAAGCUAAAAGGCAGGCAAGACUUGGUUAGAAAUACCAGUGUGUCCUCUCUCACUGCUACCAACCAGCCAGUGAGGGAUUUGCAGUGCGAUAAAACAGGCCUAAGCCCUGACUGGCUGAGGGAGCCAGUGCCUUACAGGUUAGUCAGCCAAAUGGGGAUAGUGGAAAAAACAAUGCACAAAAGGUUUCUGAAAAGCAGAAAUCAGUGUGCCCUUGAGUAGUCAUGGCAGUAAAUUAGCAGCAGUCAGUGGCAAGGUGCCCACAGCUGGGCUUUUCCCGGCCUCUUUUUCACAUGCCACAGGGGACAGCUUGCUACAAGGGAGCCUCAGUUGGCACCACUCCACUGUUUAUAUUUGGUCAUUUAUUCCCAAUCCUCAUGAGUCAACCAGAGAGCUCUGCCAGUGGUGAUGAUUCUGCCGCGCUGUUUUAUCUGGAGCAGUGCCAUGGACUCUGCGCUGAUGUAUUCUCCCUGAAGGAAAACAGGAAAAGAUAGCCGUACACAGGCAAAAUAUGCACAUAUUUCACUCACUGGAGCAGCCACAAAGCCAGAAUAAGUGAACUAGUUCAGCUAAAACAAAAGCCAACCCAAACACUGAACCACACAAGCCCAGGAAAUUUUGUUGAAAAAAUCAGAAAGGUAUGAAGAAGGAGGUACAACAUGCACUGGGGAGCCCUGUUUCACACUGUUCUGGUGAUGCUCACACAGAGCCUGGAGAGCUAAAACCCCAGAUGUGAUUAGUAUCUGCCAAGCAAAUUCCCCCUUGGAAGGGUUGAUUUCAGAGCGGAGUUAAAGGGAAGAAGAGGUGGGACAUAAGACUUCCAGUUUUGCAGGUGCGAGACUGUUGCAGAAAGAUCACUGUUCCAUGCAGUGAGCAGCUGCAGGAACAGUGCUUCAAUUUCUUAUUUCUUGGAGGCAGCUUUCCCCGCGCAUCUCUGCAGACUAUAGUGCUAGCCAUGGCUUCCCGAUUCAGCAGGCAGCCUCCUCAGAGCCGCAGGAGCUGUAGUGACUGUGGGGGCUGUGGUGACUUUGACAAUCAGUCCUGCAAUGUGGCUUUGGAUGUAAUUCCUAGAAGCUUAGCCUCAAAUCUGCUUCCUUUCCUCUUCCAGUGAUUCUGUAAACCAUUUCACACCCUGAAUAAAUUCUUCUCCGCUUAAACUAGUGAGAGUGUA